CCUACGGGAGGCAGCAGUGGGGAAUAUUGCACAAUGGCGGAAACCCUGAUGCAGCCACGCCGCGUGAGUGACGAAGUAUCUCGGUAUGUAAAGCUCUAUCAGCAGGGAAGAAGAAAGACGGUACCUGACUAAGACGCCCCGGCUAACUACGUGACAGCAGCCGCGGUAAUACGUAGGGGGCAAGCGUUAUCCGGAUUUACUGGGUGUAAAGGGAGCGGAGACGGCUGUGCAAGUCUGAAGUGAAAGCCCGUGGCUCAACCGCGGAACUGCCUUGGAAACUGGAUCGCUUGAGUACUGGAGAGGCAGGCGGAAUGCGUGGUGUAGCGGUGAAAUGCGUAGAUAUUAGGAGGAACACCAGUGGCGAAGGCGGCCUGCUGGACAGAAACUGACGUUGAGGCUCGAAAGCGUGGGGAGCGAACAGGAUUAGAUACCCUAGUAGUC
Molecule: ribosomal RNA, 441 nt
Filed under: uncultured bacterium
Lineage: Bacteria
Description: partial 16S ribosomal RNA
Rfam family: Bacterial small subunit ribosomal RNA
Source: RNAcentral